AAACCCGGGAAGCUAAUACCGGAUAAGAUAUCGAACCGCAUGGUUCGAUAGUGAAAGAUGGUUUUGCUAUCACUUAUAGAUGGACCCGCGCCGUAUUAGCUAGUUGGUGAGGUAACGGCUCACCAAGGCAACGAUACGUAGCCGACCUGAGAGGGUGAUCGGCCACACUGGAACUGAGACACGGUCCAGACUCCUACGGGAGGCAGCAGGU
RNAcentral lists this ribosomal RNA (211 nucleotides) under uncultured Staphylococcus sp. Its description in RNAcentral is "partial 16S ribosomal RNA". It matches the Rfam family "Bacterial small subunit ribosomal RNA", at positions 154 to 354 of the family's 1533-position model. The record is from RNAcentral. Lineage: Bacteria; Bacillati; Bacillota; Bacilli; Caryophanales; Staphylococcaceae.